This 253-nucleotide ribosomal RNA is filed under the name uncultured bacterium. RNAcentral's name for it is "partial 16S ribosomal RNA". It matches the Rfam family "Bacterial small subunit ribosomal RNA", at positions 524 to 776 of the family's 1533-position model. The record is from RNAcentral.
UACGGAGGGUGCGAGCGUUGUCCGGAAUCACUGGGCGUAAAGGGCGCGUAGGCGGCUUGGGAAGUCUGUGGUGAAAGCUCGUGGCUCAACUGCGAGUCGGCCAUAGAUACUCCUAAGCUCGAGUCGACUAGAGGCAGAUGGGAUUCCGGGUGUAGCGGUGGAAUGCGUAGAGAUCCGGAAGAACACCGGUGGCGAAGGCGGUCUGCUGGGGUCGAACUGACGCUGAGGCGCGACAGCGUGGGGAGCAAACAGG